Non-coding RNA from Anoxybacillus sp. BCO1, 216 nucleotides. Lineage: Bacteria; Bacillati; Bacillota; Bacilli; Caryophanales; Anoxybacillaceae. The record is from Rfam.
GAAAAAGCGAUGACAGGAACUAGUAACAAGCCCUCUUCCUUUCAGAGAGCCGAUGGUUGGUGUGAAUCGGCAGGAAUGACUUGUGAAUCCAUCCUGGAGCGAAAUGCUGAACGCGUGAAGUUAGUAGGCAUUUCCGGUGAGAACCGUUACAUUUCUCGAGUGGAAGACGCAUGUCUUCAACUAGGGUGGCAACGCGGGAAUACUCUCGUCCCUUUC